CGCAUAUUGCGCCCUUUGGUAUUCCGAGGGGCAUGCCUGUUCGAGCGUCAUUUCUACCUUCAAGCUGCGGCUUGGUUUUGGGCGACGGCCAGCCCUGCGGGCCCGCCCGAAAAGCGUUCGAUGGCAGUGGCAAGCGGCAGCCCAAACGCAGUGAAUUCGUUAUCGUUUCGAGGCUCGCCGAAUCCACCCGCCGAACAACCCACCUUUUUUUACCUUUGAACUUGACCUCGGAUCAGGCAGGGAUACCCGCUGAACUUAA
RNAcentral lists this unclassified non-coding RNA (259 nucleotides) under Lasiosphaeriaceae sp. RNAcentral's name for it is "partial contains 5.8S ribosomal RNA, internal transcribed spacer 2, and large subunit ribosomal RNA". The record is from RNAcentral. Lineage: Eukaryota; Fungi; Ascomycota; Sordariomycetes; Sordariales; Lasiosphaeriaceae.